GGGGUGGGUGGUGCUGGGGAGGCCAUGCGGGGAGGGCUGUUCCCUGUUCCCUUCCCCUCAGGAGACAGCUGGCCCAAGGUGACACAGGACCGGAUGGGAUUUCAGGGUCAGGGACCACGGAGCCCGGGGCUGUGGACCACACCAGCCCAAAGCCACUGCAUGCCCCAGACCGGGGCUGUGGACCACACCAGCCCACGGCCACUGUAUGCCCCAGACCAACACGAGAAGAGUGCAGACCAACAACAUCUUCGUCUACGUUGGGGCACUGCGUAUCCCCUGUGGGAAAGACAACACUGGCUGCUGACCGAACUCCAUCGGCCUCUUCCUCCGUCCUGAGGGCAUCUUCCUCCAUCCUGACAGCAGCCUGGGCUUACCUCAGUCCCAGGGCGGGGGAGGAGGACGCACUGUGCACCCUCCCAGCUCUCCUCCGCCCCUUCCCUCAGGCUGGCCCAAGAGCAGCCUGGACAGUCAGGUGCUGGGGACACCGAGCUGCCCCUCCUCGGCCCACAACCUCAGGCCACCUGUCUCAUUUGUGACUGAGAAACAGAGCUGCAGCUGCAGGCGGGAGGCGGGACACGCUGGGAUCUACCCAUGGCCAGGCCGAGCUGCUCUGAUCACUCAAGCUUCACUUUCAUCACUUGCUCUACCAAAUAAACUAGAAUAAAAUAUGCCACUUCCUCCUUUGCACACACUCCCAAGCCUCCCAUCCCACUUCCCGGCGCUGACCCCAUAAGAACACUUUCUGUGCCUUUCCAGGUAUUUUCUAUCCUCCUCAAGCACAGAACCACAUUCAGAGUGAAUUUUUUUUUUUUUU
Non-coding RNA from Macaca mulatta (Rhesus monkey), 814 nucleotides. The record is from RefSeq and is a predicted model, not a curated record. Lineage: Eukaryota; Metazoa; Chordata; Mammalia; Primates; Cercopithecidae.